This 457-nucleotide ribosomal RNA is filed under the name uncultured bacterium. RNAcentral describes it as "bacterial SSU rRNA". It matches the Rfam family "Bacterial small subunit ribosomal RNA", at positions 340 to 786 of the family's 1533-position model. The record is from RNAcentral.
UACGGGAGGCAGCAGUGGGGAAUAUUGCACAAUGGGCGAAAGCCUGAUGCAGCUAUGCCGCGUGUAUGAAGAAGGCCUUAGGGUUGUAAAGUACUUUCAUCGGGGAGGAAAAACAAAACUAAUAAUUUUAUUUCUUGACGUUACCCGAAAAAGAAGCACCGGCUAACUCCGUGCCAGCAGCCGCGGUAAUACGGAGGGUGCUAGCGUUAAUCAGAAUUACUGGGCGUAAAGAGCACGUAGGUGGUUUUUUUAAAGUCAGAUGUGAAAUCCCUGGGCUUAACCUAGGAACUGCAUUUUGAAACUGAAAUACUAGAGUAUCGUAGAGGGAGGUAGAAUUCUAGGUGUAGCGGUGAAAUGCGUAGAUAUCUGGAGGAAUACCUGUGGCGAAAGCGGCCUCCUAAACGAAUACUGACACUGAGGUGCGAAAGCGUGGGGAGCAAACAGGGAUUAGGAUACC